Molecule: non-coding RNA, 76 nt
Organism: Myotis lucifugus (little brown bat)
Lineage: Eukaryota; Metazoa; Chordata; Mammalia; Chiroptera; Vespertilionidae
Source: Rfam
GGCAGUUCUCGGGUGAUGCACCCCAGUAUCAGACUCCCUCCUCUCUGGUUCCGGGGUACAUCACCCAAGAACCACC